RNAcentral lists this transfer RNA (74 nucleotides) under Phycisphaerae bacterium. RNAcentral describes it as "tRNA-Leu". It matches the Rfam family "tRNA". Rfam says of the family: Transfer RNA (tRNA) molecules are approximately 80 nucleotides in length. Their secondary structure includes four short double-helical elements and three loops (D, anti-codon, and T loops). Lineage: Bacteria; Pseudomonadati; Planctomycetota; Phycisphaerae. The record is from RNAcentral.
GCGCCAGUAGCCCAAAUGGCAGAGGCAGGGGAUUUAAAAUCCCCACAGUACGGGUUCGAAUCCCGUCUGGCGCA